Molecule: small nucleolar RNA, 68 nt
Filed under: Hucho hucho (huchen)
Lineage: Eukaryota; Metazoa; Chordata; Actinopteri; Salmoniformes; Salmonidae
Description: Small nucleolar RNA SNORD2 (ENSHHUG00000020668.1)
Rfam family: Small nucleolar RNA SNORD2
Source: Rfam by way of RNAcentral
GAGUGAAAUUAUGGCAUAUCUUUCGGGACAGACCUGAUUAAGGUGACCACUAUUUAUACUGAUCACUC